GAUGAACGCUGGCGGCGUGCCUAAUACAUGCAAGUCGAGCGAACGGACGAGAAGCUUGCUUUUCUGAUGUUAGCGGCGGACGGGUGAGUAACACGUGGAUAACCUACCUAUAAGACUGGGAUAACUUCGGGAAGCCGGAGCUAAUACCGGAUAAUAUUUUGAACCGCAUGGUUCAAAAGUGAAAGACGGUCUUGCUGUCACUUAUAGAUGGAUCCGCGCUGCAUUAGCUAGUUGGUAAGGUAACGGCUUACCAAGGCAACGAUGCAUAGCCGACCUGAGAGGGUGAUCGGCCACACUGGAACUGAGACACGGUCCAGACUCCUACGGGAGGCAGCAGUAGGGAAUCUUCCGCAAUGGGCGAAAGCCUGACGGAGCAACGCCGCGUGAGUGAUGAAGGUCUUCGGAUCGUAAAACUCUGUUAUUAGGGAAGAACAUAUGUGUAAGUAACUGUGCACAUCUUGACGGUACCUAAUCAGAAAGCCACGGCUAACUACGU
RNAcentral lists this ribosomal RNA (496 nucleotides) under uncultured bacterium. RNAcentral describes it as "partial 16S ribosomal RNA". It matches the Rfam family "Bacterial small subunit ribosomal RNA", at positions 28 to 506 of the family's 1533-position model. The record is from RNAcentral.